UCGGUGAAAUACCACUCUUACCAUAGUGGAUUCCUUAACUUCGGACCCUGAUCGGGUUCAGGGACAGUGCCUGAUGGGUAGUUUAACUGGGGCGGUUGCCUCCUAAAGAGUAACGGAGGCGCUCAAAGGUUUCCUCAGAAUGGUUGGAAAUCAUUCAUAGAGUGUAAAGGCAUAAGGAAGCUUGACUGCGAGACUUACAAGUCGAGCAGGGUCGAAAGACGGACUUAGUGAUCCGGUGGUUCCGCAUGGAAGGGCCAUCGCUCAACGGAUAAAAGCUACCCCGGGGAUAACAGGCUUAUCUCCCCCAAGAGUUCACAUCGACGG
This 324-nucleotide ribosomal RNA is filed under the name Tryblionella compressa. RNAcentral's name for it is "partial Bacterial large subunit ribosomal RNA". It matches the Rfam family "Bacterial large subunit ribosomal RNA", at positions 2189 to 2511 of the family's 2925-position model. The record is from RNAcentral. Lineage: Eukaryota; Bacillariophyta; Bacillariophyceae; Bacillariales; Bacillariaceae.